Long non-coding RNA from Leptonychotes weddellii (Weddell seal), 384 nucleotides. RefSeq lists it as uncharacterized. The record is from RefSeq and is a predicted model, not a curated record. Lineage: Eukaryota; Metazoa; Chordata; Mammalia; Carnivora; Phocidae.
CCCGGAGCCUGACCCCCGCCCAUUCCCCGACCCCGACCCGGAACCGUGAGCCCGACCCGCACCAGGACUGCGACCCCCCGCAGCCAUGCACUCGGCCCUCCUGACGGUCCUGGAGAAGGUCUGCAUCCUGUUUCUUCCAGAAGUUGCUGUAAAUUCUGAGGAGCUUUGAUGGCCAGCUUUGGCUAACGGAGGCAUUUUGCUCUUGCAGUGCGUUAAACCGUCUACGGAUAACAUAUAGGAUGAGGUGUCCACGUUUGUUUUGAAGUCUCAGGAUUCUUAAGACAGUGGUUUCCAGAGAUCUUUCCCACCCAGAAUCCCUUGCUUAAAUUUUUGUUUGAAGUACCAUCCUAAGGCUCAGACCGUGCACUUUGUACGGGACAGGAA